CAUGGCAAUGUCCUUAGAGUCACAUUUUCUGUAAGAAAACUGCUCCAGUGCAUCUGGAGUGCAGUCUCACAUCUUACUGUUCUACUAAUGAACUCUGCCUGCUAUGAAAGCUGCCUUUGCUCUUGCUGUCUUGGGUACUGAUCACAGUCUCUCCAGACCUUUGGGUAUCUAUGAAAUUAGCUGGUCUAUGCUGCACCCCACACUGCUUGGUUUUACUGAUAUUCCACUAAAGGAAGGCAAGCUUCAUUGUAUUUACCCAUUCUGUGUGAACACUGCAGACUGCAUAUUUCUCCACCCCAGCCUCCCUUUCUCUAAGCAUUUGAAAUUAGCUUCAGUUGGGUUUAGCAGAUCCCUGAAAACAUAGAUACUUAUUUCCCGCUUUGUCCUCUUCCUUGUCCGUUUCAUUACUCAUUUUCCUUGGAAAGGACAAUGUGAUUUAUAAUAUAUAUCUUUAUAGCAUUUGGAAGAACACCUAUUUCUUCAGAGAAAUGUAAUGGGAUAUAUUUAAAACCACAGAACUCUGGGACUACUUUGCUUUGCUUGAAGUACAGACUCACAGUUCUCCUUACAGGGGGAUAUCUACAGUGAAAUUACUAAUCUUGUGAAUAAUUUUGUGGAUGGUAAAAUAUGACCUCUGUUCUGGGUAGAUUGUGAAGAGAAGCUCCCACACAUUUAUCUCCUCAUGCCCAACACCUUUCUCUUCAGUAUUCUGGAAAUGGACAGUCUAGCAGAGAUUUCUGUCACCAUGCUAAUUUAAGUCAAUGGCAAUAACCUUUUUGAUGUCAGUGAGGCAGGAUAAAAUCUUGUGUAAACAGCCAGUCCUCACAUCUUUCCUCAUCUCAAGAACCUUGCUGACAUCUAACUUAACACCUUACAUAUCCACCUCUCUCAAAUACUUAAGUAAGCACAGAUAUGUGACAGCAAGUUGGUAUAAUGGUGAAGAAAAGGAUGUGAAUGUAAGGUUGGAUUAAAGGUAUAGUGCUAUAGGAAAGAUUAUAUAAUCUAUUUUUCUGUGCAAGUUUUUUUCUAUAUCUCAGUCCAAGCAGCUGUUGAGCAAGCAGUAUGAAGCACAGGAGAUUAGGGGCAAAAAUAUAUUUGAACCAUCAGAUACUUGGAAAAACUGUAGUCUUAUCUGAGCUUGGUGAGAAGAACCUGAGAAAUUACAUGGAGUGGGAGAAACACCAAGGGAAUGGUUACUGGUUUAAAAAGAAAAACAGUUGAUUAUAUUUUGUCAGAAAAUGAAAGAUUUUAGUCCUGACUGUUUUUUUUGUGUUUGAGGUUACUUAUGAAAACCACUCAGCACAGAGCAGAUUCUGGCACUGUUGUGCUGUCAUCACUGUAAAUUCAUUAAUGUUUCACUGAACUGUUCUAAUGCCAUUAGACUGCCCCAUGUCACAUGUGUUAUGUCUAUGAAUGGUCUCUUUGUCUCCCUGUGUAGCAAGGAAGGUGAAAGGAACUGGAAUUGAACUCAUUCUUCAAGCCGAGAAUCUUUGCAAUCAUAAGUAAAGGAAGUCCCUUCAGCUUAACAUUCAUUGCCUCCCCCCUCAUUUAAAAACAGAUGUCAGCAAGAGGAGAAGACAGGUGCAGAGUGCCUCUUUCAGCCGCUUUUGAAGGAAAGCAGGAAGUGAAUAAGUCGAAGAGAGCUGUGCUGUUUGGAUCUUUAGAAAGCGUUUAUAGCUUCUAGAUAUGUUCCUGCUAAUGAGGGCGUGAGAUGCCAGCUCUUUGGAAGUUAGAGCAUGCACUGUUGCACUCUCAUCAACUCUGAUGGAUGCACUGUAUAUGGGAAUAUAAUUUAAACAUGAGGAUAUGAGGAAUGAUUUAUUAAGUUACCGCAGAAAGCACUUAAGAAAAAAAUGUCUAAUACUAGAAAAAAUGUCUAGCAUAUUUGAAUGCUAUUUAAACAACAAAAUUUGUUAUAAACUGGAAACCUCCAAAUGGAUGCUCUUCAUAUACUGCAGCACUGUCUGAAACUGCAUAUAAAUACCCUGAAUAGUAGCUGUAAAAUAUUACAAGUUACAACAGCCAGACUCAUGAAUCUAAUGAAGGCCACAAACUGAUUGCUGUCAAUCAUAUUAUUACUGUUAAAGCCAGCAGCAAUAUCUGAGAGCUAUACUAUGUUUGGGUGUGUGGUGAGAUCUGACUACUGCCAUUUUCUUCCUUAGGCAAUCCAACUUCCACACAAAAUAGUGUCCUUUUUUUAAUGGGGGCAAGAUCAGAUACAAUACGAUCCAUGGUCUCAACAAGACUCCAGACUGAGAUUUCUUAGUAAUCUGUACAGUUCUCUGCGCUGGACUCUCACUUUUCAGAAUGAUGAAAGCAGAAUGUCAGAGACUACACUGCUUCUGAACUACUGUUGUGUGAGUUCAAAGAGGAACUAUUAAGCCCUGGAUCUGUGCCUGAUCUUUUUAUUCCUGGUACUAUCAAAGGCUGUGAUCAUUAAUCCCAGUUAAACAAGAAGUCAGCAUGUUCCACAGAAUCAAAGGGUGAACCAGGAUUCAGGAGAGAGAUCUCUUGCUCCCGCUUCUGUUGAUGAGGUGUUAUGUCACUUAUGAAGUUCAUGCUGGCUGAGCUUCUCCUACUUUUUGCUCAACGAUUUAAUAUUAGCUUGGGCGCCAUAACUAUACCUGUCUAGAUUUUUCAGUGUGUUGAGCCAUUGUGGCAAACAUCAUGGGUAAUGCAUUUUUGCAGAAUAAAGAGUGCAUUUAGAUGUAUUAUAGUUAUAUAUUUAAUAUCUUUUCAUUGUAAAUUCAACUAUUUGGAGCUUCUACACAAAUAAUUUUACAUUUGUAUCAUUAAAGGAGAUAAAAUCCCACUGAUUUUGAACAAAUCUUAGCUCAUGCCACUAUCUCCAUCUGAUUGUUUCAGCCCUUUUAUUUGAAGCUGGGUCCAUAAAUGAAUGAGUUGGUUUGUGCAGAAGUCAAUAUCCACAUUCAUCUUAAUCCAUUUUUGUAAGGUCAAGAUUCCCAUUUAUCACUGGAGUUUAAUGUGAGGGCUCAGUCCCAUGCUCCAUUUCCUUAGGGAGAAGCAAACUCCUUUGUUACUUACAUACUUCACCAUUAAAGAAAUCCCAGGAAUCUUCAGUAGAAUUUAAUCUUUUGAUUCUCUAAUCUGUGCCUGACAGAUACUAAGGAAGAAACAGAAUAUUUGCAAAAAAACUACUCAGCAGACAUAUGGGAAUAAAGAUAUGUCAAUUAUUCAGCAAGGAUUUACCUACUAUGCCUAAUUUUGCUGAGGAAUAUGGAAAGAAUUGAAAGGUUAAAAGGAAGGGCAACAAAUAUAUAGCAAACCAUGAAAAGUAUUUAUUGCAAGACAGAAACUCACAGGUAUGAUAGAGUUGCCCCUCAUAAGCAUGUAAUUCUAGAACAGACAUCCCACAGGAAGGUUACUGCAGGAAAAGACUUAAUAGAGAACAUGAAUGAAUGAAAUACUGUAUUUCAAGGACUAAGGGAAUGAACCCAGCCUCCUAGGACUAUUUGGUUUGUUUCCAAAAUAUAAGACUCCCUUUUUAGAAGAAAAUUAAUUUCCAGUCAGAUGGACCAGAAUUUUUGUUAAUGUUUGUUUUUUCCCCAUGUGGUUGAACAAUGAUUCAAAGGAAUCUACAUUAAUAGAAGCAGCUGGUGUGUGUUUUAGAAGUGAGUAGAUUAUAAAACUUAACAACUUAAUAAAGCCAGUUGGCUAUGUGAGAUGGGUAUGCAUAUACAACAUGAUACCUUGUGUGACUAAAAUGCACGUAAAAAAUAUCUGAGUUUUCUCUUUGUACUGUUGUCAGGUGCUCAAUAUAUGAAAAAUGUCUGUUUGGGUUUUUUUCCUCAAUAAACUGUAAUUUGGGUAGGAUGAUACUGCA
This is a non-coding RNA of Taeniopygia guttata (zebra finch), 3844 nucleotides long. The record is from RefSeq and is a predicted model, not a curated record. Lineage: Eukaryota; Metazoa; Chordata; Aves; Passeriformes; Estrildidae.